RNAcentral lists this ribosomal RNA (483 nucleotides) under uncultured bacterium. RNAcentral's name for it is "bacterial SSU rRNA". It matches the Rfam family "Bacterial small subunit ribosomal RNA", at positions 28 to 507 of the family's 1533-position model. The record is from RNAcentral.
GACGAACGCUGGCGGCGUGCCUAACACAUGCAAGUCGAGCGGAGUCGAUCGACGGAAGCCUUCGGGCGGAAGAUGGUUGACUUAGCGGCGGAUGGGUGAGUAACGCGUGGGCAACCUGCCUCGAAGACCGGGAUAACAGCCCGAAAGGGCUGCUAAUACCGGAUGUGGUCAAGGAUCCGCAUGGAUUUUUGAUUAAAGGGGAAACCCGUUUCGAGAUGGGCCCGCGUCCUAUCAGCUAGUUGGUGAGGUAAAAGCUCACCAAGGCGACGACGGGUAGCCGGCCUGAGAGGGUGACCGGCCACACUGGAACUGAGACACGGUCCAGACUCCUACGGGGGCAGCAGUGGGGAAUCUUCCACAAUGGGCGAAAGCCUGAUGGAGCGACGCCGCGUGAGCGAAGAAGGCCUUCGGGUUGUAAAGCUCUGUCUGGAGGGACGAAGGGAAGUGACGGUACCUCCGGAGGAAGCCACGGCUAACUACGUG